CACGUAGGGCGCAAGCGUUGUCCGGAAUUAUUGGGCGUAAAGAGCUCGUAGGUGGUUUGUUACGUCUGCUGUGAAAACCUAGGGCUUAACCCUGGGCUUGCAGUGGAUACGGGCAGACUAGAGGUAGGUAGGGGAGAAUGGAAUUCCUGGUGUAGCGGUGAAAUGCGCAGAUAUCAGGAGGAACACCGGUGGCGAAGGCGGUUCUCUGGGCCUUACCUGACACUGAGGAGCGAAAGCGUGGGGAGCGAACCGG
RNAcentral lists this ribosomal RNA (253 nucleotides) under uncultured bacterium. Its description in RNAcentral is "partial 16S ribosomal RNA". It matches the Rfam family "Bacterial small subunit ribosomal RNA", at positions 524 to 776 of the family's 1533-position model. The record is from RNAcentral.